UGGGGGAUAUUGCACAAUGGGGGAAACCCUGAUGCAGCGACGCCGCGUGAGCGAUGAAGUAUUUCGGUAUGUAAAGCUCUAUCAGCAGGGAAGAAAAUGACGGUACCUGACUAAGAAGCCCCGGCUAACUACGUGCCAGCAGCCGCGGUAAUACGUAGGGGGCAAGCGUUAUCCGGAUUUACUGGGUGUAAAGGGAGCGUAGACGGCAGUGCAAGUCUGAAGUGAAAGGCAUGGGCUCAACCUGUGGACUGCUUUGGAAACUGUGCUGCUUGAGUGUCGGAGAGGCAAGUGGAAUUCCUAGUGUAGCGGUGAAAUGCGUAGAUAUUAGGAGGAACACCAGUGGCGAAGGCGGCUUGCUGGACGAUGACUGACGUUGAGGCUCGAAAGCGUGGGGAGCAAACAGG
Molecule: ribosomal RNA, 404 nt
Filed under: uncultured bacterium
Lineage: Bacteria
Description: bacterial SSU rRNA
Rfam family: Bacterial small subunit ribosomal RNA
Source: RNAcentral